UACCCGUUCAUCAUCUUUCUAUCAAACAAUGUCUUCAUUCCACCUCCUCUCAUCAUUCCAUCCUUCCUUCCGUCUAUCUCUCUAUCUCUCCCUGUCCUCCCUGUCUCUCUAUACUGGGUCUGGGUCUCUGGGUCUUGGUCUCUGGGUCUGGGUCUUGGUCUCUGGGUCUUGGUCUCUGGGUCUCUAGGUCUCUGGGUGUCUGGGUCUCUGGGGCUUGGUCUCUGGGUCUGGGUCACUGGGUCUCUGGGUCUCUGGGUCUGGGUCUCUGGGUCUUGGUCUCUGGGUCUCUGGGUCUGGGUCGCUGGGUCUCUGGGUCUCUGGGUCUCUGGGUCUGGGUCUCUGGGUCUCUGGGUCUCUGGGUCUUGGUCUCUGGGUCUGGGUCUCUGGGUCUUGGUCUCUGGGUCUGUGUCGCUGGGUCUCUGGGUCUGGGUCUCUGGGUCGUGGUCUCUGGGUUGCUGGGCCUCUGGGUCUUGGUCUCUGGGUCUCUGGGUCUUGGUCUCUGGGUCUCUGGGUCUGGGUCGCUGGGUCUCUGGGUCUCUGGGUCUCUGGGUCUGGGUAUCUGGGUCUCUGGGUCUCUGGGUCUGGGUCUCUGGGUCUGGGUCUCUGGGUCUCUGGGUCUGGGUCGCUGGGUCUCUGGGUCUCUGGGUCUGGGUCACUGGGUCUCUGGGUCUCUGGAUCUGGGUCUCUGAGUAUGAGUCUCUGUGUCUAGGUCUGGGUCACUGGGUCUGUGGGUCUCUGGGUCUAGGUCUGGGUCACUGGGUCUGUGGGUCUCUGGGUCUAGGUCUGGGUCUCUGGAUCUGGUUCUCUGGGUAUGAGUCUCUGGUCUAGGUCUGGGUAUCUGGGUCUCUGGUUCUGGUUCUGGGUCUGGGUCUCUGAGUAUGAGUCUCUGUGUCUAGGUCUGGGUCUGUGGGUCUCUGGGUCUAGGUCUGGGUCACUGGGCCUGUGGGUCUUUGGGUCUGGGUCUGGGUCACUGGGUCUGUGGGUCUCUGGGUCUAG
Long non-coding RNA from Oncorhynchus tshawytscha (Chinook salmon), 996 nucleotides. The record is from Ensembl. Lineage: Eukaryota; Metazoa; Chordata; Actinopteri; Salmoniformes; Salmonidae.